UGGGGAAUAUUGCACAAUGGGCGCAAGCCUGAUGCAGCCAUGCCGCGUGUGUGAAGAAGGCCUUCGGGUUGUAAAGCACUUUCAGCGAGGAGGAAGGUGGUGAACUUAAUACGUUCAUCAAUUGACGUUACUCGCAGAAGAAGCACCGGCUAACUCCGUGCCAGCAGCCGCGGUAAUACGGAGGGUGCAAGCGUUAAUCGGAAUUACUGGGCGUAAAGCGCACGCAGGCGGUUUGUUAAGUCAGAUGUGAAAUCCCCGGGCUCAACCUGGGAACUGCAUUUGAAACUGGCAAGCUAGAGUCUCGUAGAGGGGGGUAGAAUUCCAGGUGUAGCGGUGAAAUGCGUAGAGAUCUGGAGGAAUACCGGUGGCGAAGGCGGCCCCCUGGANGAAGACUGACGCUCAGGUGCGAAAGCGUGGGGAGCAAACAGAUUAGNUACCCUGGUAGUCA
This 448-nucleotide ribosomal RNA is filed under the name uncultured bacterium. RNAcentral's name for it is "partial 16S ribosomal RNA". It matches the Rfam family "Bacterial small subunit ribosomal RNA", at positions 355 to 796 of the family's 1533-position model. The record is from RNAcentral.